Danio aesculapii is the source of this 258-nucleotide long non-coding RNA. RefSeq lists it as uncharacterized. The record is from RefSeq and is a predicted model, not a curated record. NCBI's taxonomy places the organism in Eukaryota, Metazoa, Chordata, Actinopteri, Cypriniformes, Danionidae. The transcript has 3 exons.
CUUGCCACGCCAGAGCUGUGGUAAUGAAUGUGGGGUUUUUAUGCUUAUGUAUACCCUUUGCUCUGUGACCGGUGUGGCAAUUGAAUUCCAGGAGCGGUUUGCCUUCUGGACCGAUGAGGCCAGAAACUUGCUCCAAGGAAAACUUCAGCCAGUGUACAGGGUGCCAAAAAAGUGUGCCAUCUCUGAGGAAAUCCCACUUCACAUUCAGGCUGUUCCACAACAGAGGAAAAAAGAAUUGUCGACUUUAUUGUAAAGUUA